CGUAGGGCGAGAUGUUGUUUUGUUGUGACGAUCAGCUGAGUGUGGCAUCGCUGUCCGGUCUGACACCACGAGAAGAAGAAGAAGAAGAAGAAGAGGGGGGAGGAGGAGGAGGAGAAGAAGAAGAAGCGCCUCUCCGGCUCCACACUAAACGUGGGGACGGAGCGCCUCUUUCCAGCGCAUCGCAAUCCAGGAAAUGCGGACUUGUGGCCCUUUCGCUUCGGGAUAAACGGCUGCAGAAGCCGCACCGUGGAGAGCCGUGGCCAGCGUUGUGCAAUCGUUAUUGUUGUAGUGUGAUUGUAAGCUUCUGCGCUGCACACCACAGACUCGGGCCUCGAGGAGAAGAUUGAUUUGGGUGUGGGCCUGAAAAGCCUAAUAAUCUUUGAUGAGACAAGUUCAUCGAGCAGCCUCAAAAUCACACAAAAGGCAUGACAGUAGCUGAAUCAUCUCCACAAUGCACUGCAGCCUUAGUGAAGUAAUCUCAUGUCACAUUUGUCACACUGUCAUGGUGGAUUAACAGUCAAAGACGAAUGGUCAGUGAUGGUGCCGCUCAGCAUGGAUCUCUCUGUUAGGGAAGGUAUCAAUGAAAGUAGAGAAAACUGGUAUUUUAGAGAUUGUGUC
Amphiprion ocellaris (clown anemonefish) is the source of this 618-nucleotide long non-coding RNA. The record is from Ensembl. NCBI's taxonomy places the organism in Eukaryota, Metazoa, Chordata, Actinopteri, Pomacentridae.